GGUUUUACCUGGCAUGGGAGAUACCGUGAUCAAGAAGGCGGUUCACCCAUUGCACUUCGGCUUUGCUGACCCCUGAGAAUUCCCCAAAUGUGGAAAUCUCGACUGCAUUAUUUAUUUAUUUAUUUAUUUAUUUAUUU
This is a small nuclear RNA of 137 nucleotides. Its record names the gene U1. It matches the Rfam family "U1 spliceosomal RNA". Rfam says of the family: U1 is a small nuclear RNA (snRNA) component of the spliceosome (involved in pre-mRNA splicing). The record is from Ensembl.